ACUCCUACGGGAGGCAGCAGUAAGGAAUAUUGGGCAAUGGACGCAAGUCUGACCCAGCCAUGCCGCGUGAAGGAUGAAUGUCCUAUGGAUUGUAAACUUCUUUUCUGAGGGAGCAUAAUGAGAGUACUUCAGGAUUAAGGAACGGCAAAUCACGUGCCAGCAGCCGCGGUAAU
This 173-nucleotide ribosomal RNA is filed under the name uncultured bacterium. RNAcentral describes it as "partial 16S ribosomal RNA". It matches the Rfam family "Bacterial small subunit ribosomal RNA", at positions 335 to 524 of the family's 1533-position model. The record is from RNAcentral.